GUCUCUAACUGCGAUUCAAAAUCACAAACAAGGCUGCGGGCCAUGGGGUAUCCUGUACAACAGAACCACAAAGCAUUUGAGUGCUUUGAAAUGGAGGCAACUGGAGUUCUUGCACAACACAGCUGUGAAAAUACUUUUCAGAGAGAAGAAUCUUUGCCUGUACAGAUGGAUACCACUAAACGUUGUGGAAAGUGCAAGUACCCGGAACGACUUUUUAGUGAACUGCACUACAUUCUGCAUUCGAAUAGAUUUGGGAUGGGGAAAUGAAACCUCAUAAAGCACUGAGGAUUUCCCAUGGAAAUCAUUCAAAGCUUCGAGAGUGUCGAAACCGCCAUCUGGUGGUUAAUAAAAAUAAAAUAAAAUAAAGC
This is a long non-coding RNA of Ictalurus punctatus (channel catfish), 368 nucleotides long. NCBI's taxonomy places the organism in Eukaryota, Metazoa, Chordata, Actinopteri, Siluriformes, Ictaluridae. The record is from Ensembl.